Molecule: ribosomal RNA, 417 nt
Filed under: uncultured beta proteobacterium
Lineage: Bacteria; Pseudomonadati; Pseudomonadota; Betaproteobacteria
Description: bacterial SSU rRNA
Rfam family: Bacterial small subunit ribosomal RNA
Source: RNAcentral
GAGUUUGAUCUUGGCUCAGAUUGAACGCUGGCGGCAUGCCUUACACAUGCAAGUCGAGCGGCAGCGCGGGGGCAACCCUGGCGGCGAGCGGCGAACGGGUGAGUAAUGCAUCGGAACGUGUCCUCUUGUGGGGGAUAACCAGUCGAAAGACUGGCUAAUACCGCAUGAGAUCGAGAGAUGAAAGCAGGGGACCGCAAGGCCUUGCGCGAGAGGAGCGGCCGAUGCCGGAUUAGCUAGUUGGUGGGGUAAAAGCCUACCAAGGCGACGAUCCGUAGCUGGUCUGAGAGGACGACCAGCCACACUGGGACUGAGACACGGCCCAGACUCCUACGGGAGGCAGCAGUGGGGAAUUUUGGACAAUGGGGGAAACCCUGAUCCAGCCAUGCCGCGUGUGUGAAGAAGGCCUUCGGUUGUAAG